AGGGGCGGGGUCGAAGGGACGUGAGGCCUCCGCAGGGGCGGGACGAAGAUGGGGAGGGGACGGGGCUUUGGCGAGCCCGUCAGGGGGUGGAGCGUGGAAGGAGGCUAGACCACAAGGGGGCAGGGAACAAAAAUAUGAAUGAACCUCAGCUAAUGAAGUAGGACCUUCCGUCUUUGGAAUUCUGUCCCAGAGACCAUCACAAAAGGCCAGUAAGAAAAGCCUAUCACCAGAAUCCAAAUGUCAGGUUGAAACUCCUAGAUAAUGGAGCAGCCUUCUAAAGAAACCUCAAAAAAUUGAAUAAAAUACCUCAUAAAAUUA
Molecule: long non-coding RNA, 318 nt
Organism: Panthera uncia (snow leopard)
Lineage: Eukaryota; Metazoa; Chordata; Mammalia; Carnivora; Felidae
Exons: 2
Source: RefSeq, a predicted model, not a curated record